GACGAACGCUGGCGGCGCGCUUAACACAUGCAAGUCGAACGGAAAGGCCUGCUUUCCCUUGUGGAUUGCGGGUACUCGAGUGGCGAACGGGUGAGUAACACGUGAGUGAUCUGCCCCCAACUUGGGUAUAAGCCUGGGAAACUGGGUCUAAUUCCCGAUAGGACUGCAGGGAGGUGCCUGUGGUGGAAAACGAUUUUCUAGUGGUUGGGGAUGAGCUCGCGGCCUAUCAGCUUGUUGGUGGGGUAAUGGCCUACCAAGGCGGCGACGGGUAGCCGGCCUGAGAGGGUGGACGGCCACAUUGGGACUGAGAUACGGCCCAGACUCCUACGGGAGGCAGCAGUGGGGAAUAUUGCACAAUGGGCGGAAGCCUGAUGCAGCGACGCCGCGUGGGGGAUGACGGCCUUCGGGUUGUAAACUCCUUUCGACCGCGAGGAAGCCACCUGGUUGGAAGGGUGGUGACGGUAGUGGGAGAAGAAGCACCGGCUAACUACGUG
This 494-nucleotide ribosomal RNA is filed under the name uncultured bacterium. Its description in RNAcentral is "partial 16S ribosomal RNA". It matches the Rfam family "Bacterial small subunit ribosomal RNA", at positions 28 to 507 of the family's 1533-position model. The record is from RNAcentral.